AACGAACGCUGGCGGCACGCCUAACACAUGCAAGUCGAGCGCACCUUCGGGUGAGCGGCGGACGGGUUAGUAACGCGUGGGAACGUACCCUUCUCUAAGGAAUAGCCUCGGGAAACUGAGAGUAAUACCUUAUACGCCCUUCGGGGGAAGGAUUUAUCGGGGAAGGAUCGGCCCGCGUCUGAUUAGAUAGUUGGUGGGGUAACGGCCUACCAAGUCGACGAUCAGUAGCUGGUUUGAGAGGAUGAUCAGCAACACUGGGACUGAGACACGGCCCAG
RNAcentral lists this ribosomal RNA (276 nucleotides) under uncultured bacterium. Its description in RNAcentral is "partial 16S ribosomal RNA". It matches the Rfam family "Bacterial small subunit ribosomal RNA", at positions 29 to 334 of the family's 1533-position model. The record is from RNAcentral.